Non-coding RNA from Acanthosepion pharaonis, 114 nucleotides. NCBI's taxonomy places the organism in Eukaryota, Metazoa, Mollusca, Cephalopoda, Sepiida, Sepiidae. The record is from the annotation of a GenBank genome assembly.
UACAGCCAUAUCUCGUUGAAAGAACGGUUCUCCUACGGUCACCGAAUUUAAGCAACGUCAAGCCUAGUCAGUACCUAGAUGGGUGACCGCUUAGGAAAUACCAGGUGUUGUAAG